GUUAACUUUUAGAAAGUAUUCUCGCACCGUAUAAAUACAUCUCAUUUUUCUCUGUUUUGUCAGUAGUUGUUUUUGGUAUUAUUCGUGCAACGUGGAAGCUAACUUAGUGGUUUGGUGUUCGUACAAAAAAGCAGUCCUAAAGAUCAUCUUAGUACUCUCAACCCGUAACCGCAAAUAGAAUAGCAGCCAAUCUUAAGCAUGGACUUAAGUCAACUGAAUCAAACCUGUCUUGCAGAAGGUGAUUUUGAGCAGCCGAUUGUCAAACUGCAUGAAUUGCCGAUAGGCGUUCCGUUUAAAAUUACUAGAGCCAAAAUUGUUAAUACAAAAUUUGGCAAUUCCGUGUUGCUGCAAUUAGAAAAUUCCGUAGUAUUUCUUCCUACUCGCGUGACAGAAGCUUUCCGUCCGAGACUAGAACACUUUGCGUCGGGGCAGUACAAACUGGUCUACGAGGGAUCCAAAGAUAUUGGAAAGCCCAACUCUUUAAAGAAAUUCAAAAUAAUUCAAAAUUAAUCAACAUAUUAUACAGGAUUAUGGUCAAACAACUUACAUUAGAAAGCCUUUGUAUUAUAACAAUUUGCGAAAAUAUUAGGUGUAGUGCUGAUUUUUUGCUUGAGUCACCUUUGCCUUGGAAACUAACGAUACUAAUAUUUAAAUAUUAUUCGAAAUAUAGAUGGAAGUACCUUAAACAAUUAGCGCUCCAGUCUGAUGGCAAUUCUUUAUUAAAUUUAGAAUUCAUUCUGUUGAAUAAGAGAUUUGGAUCGUCUUACAGAAAUAGCAUUUUGGCAACUCCAACCAUUGAUUUUGACGGAGAAUCCGCUUACUGUUUAUGGGUCAGUUAUUACAGGAUAAAAUAUUCGGAAAUUUUAGUUUGUAAAUCUUGUCACUUUAUAUUUCAACUAGUUAAAAAAUUUAAAAAGAAAAAUUUUAGACUUUUAUUGGAUCACUAUCAUUUACAGCUGGAUAUAAAUAAUUUGAAUGAUGUAUAUCACGAUAAACAAUUUUGGUGUCAAAGCUGCUUUGAAGAAGUUUUGUUCACUGUAGAAACUGAAGAUGAAUGUAAUUUAAUGCUUCACGAUGAGAGGAAAUAUGGAAAAAAGUUACGCUUUUCUGAUAGUCCAUUGAACUAUUAAUACUGUGGUUUUAUUAUAACAUAUGUAACUGUAGAUAAGACUUUUAUGUAUUGAUUGUAUUCCAUUGUAUUGCAACAAGAAUAAACAUGUAUAUAUUUAGACGCUAUUUUCUUUUUUACCACCACCACAACACCGCAUAAUAAUUACACAGAAGUUUGUAAUUGUAUAAUUUAUUUAUUAUAUACAUUAUUACUAUUUUACAAUUUCGUUAAAUGCUAAAUU
Molecule: long non-coding RNA, 1352 nt
Organism: Cylas formicarius (sweet potato weevil)
Lineage: Eukaryota; Metazoa; Arthropoda; Insecta; Coleoptera; Brentidae
Exons: 4
Source: RefSeq, a predicted model, not a curated record